RNAcentral lists this ribosomal RNA (1986 nucleotides) under Triticum aestivum (bread wheat). RNAcentral describes it as "partial small subunit ribosomal RNA". Lineage: Eukaryota; Viridiplantae; Streptophyta; Magnoliopsida; Poales; Poaceae. The record is from RNAcentral.
AUGGGUCUUCUUGAAACACUGAAUGACUGGGACUGGGACUUUGACCAUAGACUACAUGGGGUUGGCUUAAAGAUCUCUGGUAGUAUAACUCUAGUGCAUAUGCUUCCCCAGAUAUCUAGUUCUUGUUCUUCCAAGAUGUAUCGCACAACCAAUCUCUUGUUCACCCUCAUCAUCCUAAGCAUCACUUCAUUUUCACGAGUGGUGCAUGCACUAGCACUACAAACCCAGUAUGCCCAUGGCAGUGGCUGCAUCCCUGCUGAGAGGGCCGCCUUGCUUGCCUUCCAGAAGGGGAUCACAAGUGACGGCGCUGAUAUCCUCGCCUCGUGGGAAGGGUAUGAUUGCUGUCGGUGGAGGGGCAUCAGCUGCAGCAACCGAACAGGCCAUGUCAUCAAGCUUCACCUUCGCAAUACGUUUCCAGGCCCUGACGCCUAUAACUAUAAUGGGUGUGAUGAUGCCAAUUCAUUGUUCGGCAAGAUAAGUCCCUCUCUGCUUUCCUUGAAGAAUCUAGAGCACAUGGAUCUUAGCAUGAACUGUUUGCUAGGGCCCAAUAGCCACAUUCCUCAGUUUUUGGGAUCCAUGGAUAACUUGAGAUACCUUAACCUCUCUGGCAUUCCAUUUACCGGUAGAGUUCCUUCUCAGCUUGGUAACUUGUCUAAGUUGCAACAUCUUGACCUUGGCGAGGGUUAUUCCGGCAUGUACUCAUCGGACAUCACUUGGUUAACAAAGCUACCCUUGCUGCAGUAUCUUAGUAUGAGCACAAUAAAUCUCUCAAGGAUAGCUGACUGGCCUCGUCCCUUGAAUAUGAUUCCAUCACUAAGAGUUAUCAAUCUUGCUGGAUGCUCACUUGAUACUGCAAGUCAAUCGCUUCCCUACUUUAACCUCACAAAACUUGAGAAGCUUGAUUUGUCCUCGAAUAAUCUAGGCCACUCAAUUGCAUCAAGUUGGUUUUGGAAAGUGACGAGCCUCAAAUAUCUCAGCCUUCGUGCGACUCAGUUAUUUGGAAAAUUUCCGGAUGCACUAGGAAACAUGACGUCACUCAAGGUACUUGAUUUGGCAUUCAACAAUCUGAAUAAGACUGAAAACCUUCAAAGUCUUCUUAAAAACCUUUGCUGCUUGGAAAUCCUCGACCUCUCUAAAAAUGUUAUGAAUGCAAAUAUAGUGGCGUUGAUGGAGGGGUUGCCGGAAUGCGCACAGGAAAAGUUGCUAGAGCUGCAUUUCAGUGAAAACAAUUUCAUCGGGACCUUGCCAAAUUUUAUAGGGGAAUUCAGCAGCUUGAGCAUGCUUGACCUGUCCAGAAACAACCUUGUUGGACCUAUACCGCCAGGGCUUUGGAAUUUGACCCGUCUAACCAUCCUUGAUCUCAGCUGGAAUCAACUCAACGGGAACGUACCAACUGAAAUUUGUUCUCUGAAGAAUCUGGUUUCUCUGAGACUAAGCAACAACAGACUUGGUGGUGCGAUCACAGAAGGACACUUUGCAAAUUUAAGAAGUUUAAAGGAAAUAGACUUGUCUUCCAAUAAUUUGAAGAUUGCACUGGAUUCAGAUUGGCUUUCUCCCUUUAGGCUACAGUCUGGAGAUUUUGCAUCUUGCCAAAUAGGGCCUUUAUUUCCAGCUUGGCUUCAGCAGCUGCGGGGGAUCGAUUCACUUAACAUUUCAAACACUGGUUUACUGGACAAAUUUCCUGAUUGGUUUUGGUAUACAUUUUCAAGGGCAACUGAUCUCGACAUCUCUAACAACCAAAUAAGUGGCACCUUGCCAGCACAUCUGGAUGGCAUGGCUUUGGAAAAACUCCACCUAGGUUCAAACCGGCUCACCGGGUCAAUGCCUUCGUUGCCGGCAAAUAUUACUUGGUUAGACAUCUCCAAUAAUAAGUUUUCAGGAGUAAUACCAUCCGAUUUUGAAGCCUCCCGACUUCAAAUCUUGAUUGUCUAUUCAAAUCGAAUUGAACAACACAGCUAUGGUGUUUUUGGACCUUGCAUGGAAUAA